GGCCUACCAUGGUGGUAACGGGUAACGGGGUGUUAGGGCACGACACCGGAGAGGGAGCCUGAGAAACGGCUACCACAUCCAAGGAUGGCAGCAGGCGCGCAAAUUACCCAAUCCCGACACGGGGAGGUAGUGACAAUAAAUAACAAUACGGGGUUCUUUCGGAUCUCGUAAUUGGAAUGAGUACAAUUUAAAUCUCUUAACGAGGAACAAUUGGAGGGCAAGUCUGGUGCCAGCAGCCGCGGUAAUUCCAGCUCCAAUAGCGUAUAUUAAAGUUGUUGCAGUUAAAAAGCUCGUAGUUGAAUUUCGGGGUUAGUAGGCUGGUCAUGCCUCUGGUAUGUACUGGUCUCACUGAUUCCUCCUUCCUGAUGAACCGUAAUGCCAUUAAUUUGGUGUUGCGGGGAAUUUGGACUGUUGCUUUGAAAAAAUUAGAGUGUUUAAAGCAAGCUAACGCUUGAAUACAUUAGCAUGGAAUAAUGAAAUAGGACGUUCGAUCCUAUUUUGUUGGUUUCUAGGAUUGACGUAAUGAUUAAUAGGGAUAGUUGGGGGCAUUAGUAUUCAAUUGUCAGAAGUGAAAUUCUUGGAUUUAUUGAAGACUAACUACUGCGAAAGCAUUUGCCAAGGAUGUUUUCAUUAAUCAAGAACGAAAGUUAGGGGAUCGAAGACGAUCAGAUACCGUCGUAGUCUUAACCAUAAACUAUGCCGACUAGGGAUCGGAUGAUGUUAAUUUUUUAAUGACUCAUUCGGCGCCUUACGGGAAACCAAAGUGUUUGGGUUC
This 775-nucleotide ribosomal RNA is filed under the name uncultured Rhizophagus. Its description in RNAcentral is "SSU rRNA". It matches the Rfam family "Eukaryotic small subunit ribosomal RNA", at positions 338 to 1114 of the family's 1831-position model. Lineage: Eukaryota; Fungi; Glomeromycota; Glomeromycetes; Glomerales; Glomeraceae. The record is from RNAcentral.